AGAGCGAACGCUGGCGGCAUGCUUAACACAUGCAAGUCGCACGGUCGGGGUAACUCGGCAGUGGCGGACGGGUGAGUAACGCGUAGGUAUCUAUCCAUGGGUGGGGGAUAACGGCGGGAAACUGCUGCUAAUACCGCAUGACACCUGAGGGUCAAAGGCGCGAGUCGCCUGUGGAGGAGCCUGCGUCCGAUUAGCUUGUUGGUGGGGUAAUGGCCUACCAAGGCGACGAUCGGUAGCUGGUCUGAGAGGACGACCAGCCACACUGGAACUGAGACACGGUCCAGACUCCUACGGGAGGCAGCAGUGGGGAAUAUUGGACAAUGGGGGCAACCCUGAUCCAGCCAUGCCGCGUGGGUGAAGAAGGCCUUCGGGUUGUAAGCCUUUGUACGGAAGAAAGCUUCGGGUUAACAACCGGGAGUCAUGACGGUACCGUAAGAAUAAGACACCGGCUAACUUCGCGCCAGCAGCCGC
Molecule: ribosomal RNA, 471 nt
Filed under: uncultured bacterium
Lineage: Bacteria
Description: SSU rRNA
Rfam family: Bacterial small subunit ribosomal RNA
Source: RNAcentral